This 516-nucleotide ribosomal RNA is filed under the name uncultured bacterium. RNAcentral's name for it is "partial 16S ribosomal RNA". It matches the Rfam family "Bacterial small subunit ribosomal RNA", at positions 28 to 523 of the family's 1533-position model. The record is from RNAcentral.
GAUGAACGCUGGCGGCGUGCCUAAUACAUGCAAGUCGAACGCAUUGAGAGAAGUGCUUGCACUUUUCAAUUUGAGUGGCGAACGGGUGAGUAACACGUGGGCAACCUACCUGAUAGCGGGGGAUAACGAGUGGAAACAUUCGCUAAUACCGCAUAACAAGAGAGAAGGCAUCUUCUUUAUUUAAAAGGCGCUUUCAAGCGUCACUACCAAAUGGGCCAGCGGUGCAUUAGUUAGUUGGUGGGGUGAAGGCCUACCAAGACGAUGAUGCAUAGCCGAGUUGAGAGACUGAUCGGCCACAUUGGGACUGAGACACGGCCCAAACUCCUACGGGAGGCUGCAGUAGGGAAUCUUCCACAAUGGACGAAAGUCUGAUGGAGCAACGCCGCGUGUGUGAUGAAGGCUCUCGGGUCGUAAAGCACUGUUGUAUGGGAAGAAAUGCUAGGCUAGGAAAUGAGCUUAGUUUGACGGUACCAUACCAGAAAGGGACGGCUAAAUACGUGCCAGCAGCCGCAGUAA